UACGUAGGUGGCAAGCGUUGUUCGGAAUUAUUGGGCGUAAAGGGCUCGUAGGCGGUUUGUCGCGUCGGGAGUGAAAACUCAGGGCUUAACCCUGAGCCUGCUUCCGAUACGGGCAGACUAGAGGUAUGCAGGGGAGAAUGGAAUUCCUGGUGUAGCGGUGAAAUGCGCAGAUAUCAGGAGGAACACCGGUGGCGAAGGCGGUUCUCUGGGCAUUACCUGACGCUGAGGAGCGAAAGUGUGGGGAGCGAACAGG
This 253-nucleotide ribosomal RNA is filed under the name uncultured bacterium. RNAcentral describes it as "partial 16S ribosomal RNA". It matches the Rfam family "Bacterial small subunit ribosomal RNA", at positions 524 to 776 of the family's 1533-position model. The record is from RNAcentral.